This is a non-coding RNA of Meleagris gallopavo (turkey), 3096 nucleotides long. The record is from RefSeq and is a predicted model, not a curated record. NCBI's taxonomy places the organism in Eukaryota, Metazoa, Chordata, Aves, Galliformes, Phasianidae.
GCCUCCUGCUAUCUGAAGAACAACUUUCUUCUGCUUGUUUUGAAGCUGGAUGCUACAGGCUUUAUUCUCUGCACCUAAUUACUGCACUGGGAGAGGCAGAGAAUGCUUCCUGUACAGGAGGAAGCUGCUUCAAAAGGCAGCUUUUAAUCACUGUGUGGCCUGGCAAGGGGAUACCCUGAUGUAGUGAUAGUGUGUUUCAUGGAGUACAUACAGCUCAGCAGCUCUGUGGAUAUCAGCUCUCUGUGCUCUCUUUGAGAUCCAUCCUCUUGAGUUCAUCCUCAACCGAAGAGAAGACAAAAAGUCCUUUUAAGCCUGAUUUUGUCUACUUCUUCCAACACAUCAGGUACUGCAGUGGGAUGUAUCUUCCUGCACUCCUUACCUCUCUUGUAGCCUUACCUGCUGUUAACUUAGCUUCUUCUUGUAGUGGAUACAGAGGUACCAGAGCUCAUUUGUACCAUGAGCUCCUAGCCAGCAGCCUUCAGGACCACACCGUGGCUCCUGGCUCCACUGAGACACUGGGGACCAUACAGCUGAGCCUGCUGGUGAUGCUCAUCCAUGAGAGCAAUUCCAAACAAAAUGGUCCCUCUCCUCCCUACAGGCAGCUUCUAAAUGCCGACAGUGGCUGCUUUAAAGAUUUUCGUAUCACACAAAGUUAUUUAAAAUGGCUGAGUGAUAACCUCCUCAAAGGAAGAUUUAUUAACAUUUACAUCCAGUCCUCAGUGGCACAAUAAAAAUAUAUUAUACUUCAGGUACAAACUGCUUUGCCUAGGGGAAUCCCAAUAAAAUCAAUGAUCCAUUUUUUUUUCUUUAAAGCGAGCAAAAAGCUCCAAGGCCCUUUAUUCCUUCACUGAUCAGUGACUCAGAAAUAUUUUUCAGCACACAUCUCUUCCCCAUAGAGUUCCCUUUAUCCUUGCUGCCUGUGCUGCAGAAACCAGCUACCAAAAGACACAAGCAGUGACUGCCUCAACUUUAUUCUCAUUUUAUCUACUCUCUAAAGAAGGUCUGAGCCCAGCAGGAUUUUCUGAGCUCUGUUUCAGGGUUUCUAGAUGAGCACUGUAAGCACAGGGUCAGACUCUGCUUGCAGCUUUGUAUCCCUUUCAAAACCUCAGGGGUUUGGCUCCUCAGCAGAGCGAGAUGUGCUGCCAGAAGGUGCUGCUGCCCAGCCAUCACCCUACCGAGCAGCAGGGCAAGGGCCCAGCCCCACGGGGACGGGAAGUGAUGAGCAACAUGGCCUCCUCAAGAAAAACAUGGGCUUGAAAAGGAAAGACAGAGAACACAUACAGCGCUGCAUUUAUGAGGAUCAGACAGCGAACCAAGACAAACUCAGGACCGGGCAAGCAAUGGGACCUCUUUCAGCCACACAUAAGCUGUGUUUGGUGCCUACGGACCAGCCAGCUGCAUUCAAAACCAUCAGGAGGAGAGCAAGGUUUCACAGCUCAGGGUGUGAUCUAUGACAGGGAUUUUUGUUGUGAAACAGCCCUGCCAAGGGACCUCACACCUUACUCCUCAGCUGGGAAUCCUUAGCCUCAUUGCAUGGGGCACCUGUGAAAGAGCACAGUGAAAAUCUACCCUCAGCAAAUGGCUGCACAGCACAGGGUUCCUGGAAGCCCUAUUGUUUUUGGAAGGUGAGAAGCAAUACAGAGCAAGUGAAAUCCUUUCACAACUUUCUAUUUGUGUCACUGAGAGAUUCAUAGGGUUAUUGGUUUAAACUGAUGUUAAUGAUAAGAAAAUAAUGCUGAUGGUUGACAAUUUCCAGCUGUGAGCUAACAAAACUACUUAAAUAGGUGCCCAGAUUACUUGCUUUCUUCUCAGCUGUGGGCAGUACUGUUAAGCCAAACUGACGAAGAGGUCUUUCUGAAGCCCUGAAUUUGUGCUUUGUGUAUGUGAGAGUGAGAAAAGUUGUGGGAUCCCUUUGCUCCCUGGUGAGUGAUGCACCUCUGUUGGAGCAGGGAAAGUUGAAUGUAUGAAGUACAAGUGUGCAAAGCUGCUUAAAAAAUCAUGAGUGAGAGGGCAGCUGGAGCAGAGUGCUUUGAGGUGAGAAUAUGACUACAGCCUGAGCUAGGACUGGAGCUGUGUGCAGUUCUGCUAAUGUGAUGCUCCAGCAGGACCCUCUCUGACUUGUGAAGCAUCUUCCCUAAGGCAGCCUCAAGUUGGAAGAGGUCUGAAGUUAUUAGGAUGAGAAGAAAUGCUAUCUUUAGUUUCCUACGUUCCCAGCUUGACUCUUGGAGCAACUAUUUGGAAAAUCAGCAGGGCACAGGGGACAGCUAUGAUCGAUCUCAAAGGUCCAAGGGUUGCCGGGUCUUUAUUAGAGGAAGAAGAUAUAUCUCUGCUUUUUUGAGACUACUUUAUAUUCAGUGAUGGUCCAUCCUGGAGCAGCCUACCCAUGCUAAUGCUAUUUGUGAAUAUCAUAAACAUUUUUUCUAUUCCAUUUAUGAAAUUGCUGAGGAAGAUACUGAAGGGUGAAGAACCCUGCAAGGUUCUGCAGAGUAAAUACUUCUAGUCUUACUGUGAGAAAGUGCCACAAGGUGAGUACACAAUGUGCCAGUGUACUUCCAAAAGGUGAGACAGGGAAUAUACCCAGCUGCCCCACUCCUCUCAUGCUGGCAGCUCUCACACAGGCACAGCAGCAGCUCAGCCCUUUCCUGGGCACAGUGCUCCAGUGUGAUUUUGUUCUUCAGGCUUCGCUUAACACAUACAUUUUCAAAUGGGAAUGUUUUUCUGUGACAAGAAAGGAGGAAGUCAUGGGAAGUUUAAUUUUUGGCAAAACAGCAAUUUCAUUUGGAAUUUCAGGAAACAUGAAAAUAUUGUUGUUUUUUUUUUAACCUCCAGUUGUUGAUUUUCAAAAUUAGAAUUUUUUCUUUCACUUAGAUUUUUCCUUUCCUCUUCUUUCAUAACCUCCCCUCAACUUUUCCCUCAUCUGCUUGCCAGGGAUAUUACGAUAUUUAGAUAUUACUUCCAAAUCUUCCAUUUUCCAUUGUCUAACCUUUGAAAACUUUGAUUUGGAGAAGAUCGUGGAUAGAAUUAAAAAAUAAUAAUAAUAAAAGCCAACAACUGUGAAACCAAAAUGCUGAAUUUACUGGGAUGUAUGUGCAGCCA